CCUGGCUCAGAUUGAACGCUGGCGGCAGGCUUAACACAUGCAAGUCGAGCGGGGGAAGGUAGCUUGCUACUGGACCUAGCGGCGGACGGGUGAGUAAUGCUUAGGAAUCUGCCUAUUAGUGGGGGACAACAUCUCGAAAGGGAUGCUAAUACCGCAUACGUCCUACGGGAGAAAGCAGGGGAUCUUCGGACCUUGCGCUAAUAGAUGAGCCUAAGUCGGAUUAGCUAGUUGGUGGGGUAAAGGCCUACCAAGGCGACGAUCUGUAGCGGGUCUGAGAGGAUGAUCCGCCACACUGGGACUGAGACACGGCCCAGACUCCUACGGGAGGCAGCAGUGGGGAAUAUUGGACAAUGGGGGGAACCCUGAUCCAGCCAUGCCGCGUGUGUGAAGAAGGCCUUAUGGUUGUAAAGCACUUUAAGCGAGGAGGAGGCUACUUUAGUUAAUACCUAGAGAUAGUGGACGUUACUCGCAGAUAAGCACCGGCUAACUCUGUGCCAGCAGCCGCGGUAAUACAGAGGGUGCGAGCGUUAAUCGGAUUUACUGGGCGUAAAGCGUGCGUAGGCGGCUUAUUAAGUCGGAUGUGAAAUCCCCGAGCUUAACUUGGGAAUUGCAUUCGAUACUGGUGAGCUAGAGUAUGGGAGAGGAUGGUAGAAUUCCAGGUGUAGCGGUGAAAUGCGUAGAGAUCUGGAGGAAUACCGAUGGCGAAGGCAGCCAUCUGGCCUAAUACUGACGCUGAGGUACGAAAGCAUGGGGAGCAAACAGGAUUAGAUACCCUGGUAGUCCAUGCCGUAAACGAUGUCUACUAGCCGUUGGGGCCUUUGAGGCUUUAGUGGCGCAGCUAACGCGAUAAGUAGACCGCCUGGGGAGUACGGUCGCAAGACUAAAACUCAAAUGAAUUGACGGGGGCCCGCACAAGCGGUGGAGCAUGUGGUUUAAUUCGAUGCAACGCGAAGAACCUUACCUGGCCUUGACAUACUAGAAACUUUCCAGAGAUGGAUUGGUGCCUUCGGGAAUCUAGAUACAGGUGCUGCAU
This 1033-nucleotide ribosomal RNA is filed under the name Acinetobacter baumannii. RNAcentral's name for it is "bacterial SSU rRNA". It matches the Rfam family "Bacterial small subunit ribosomal RNA", at positions 18 to 1046 of the family's 1533-position model. The record is from RNAcentral. Lineage: Bacteria; Pseudomonadati; Pseudomonadota; Gammaproteobacteria; Moraxellales; Moraxellaceae.